Molecule: long non-coding RNA, 115 nt
Organism: Leopardus geoffroyi (Geoffroy's cat)
Lineage: Eukaryota; Metazoa; Chordata; Mammalia; Carnivora; Felidae
Exons: 3
Source: RefSeq, a predicted model, not a curated record
CCGGUGGGGACGCUGCAGCAGCAGGGGACACAGCAAGCCAUGGCGCUGGGAAUCUGUGUUUUUAAUUGAUUUGGUUGUAACGAUAGAUGAAACUUCUGAAGAGCACAGCGUCUGA